AUAUACGACUGUUAGAGGGAUUGGAGACUGGUCACGUGAGCGCAUUACUACUACACUCACCAUCCGCGUUUGUGUUAAGUAUAUUCAUAGUCACGCCUUUUCUUUGACCUUGUGCUAUUUCAAUGGAGGAAGAGCAGAACCAACAGUACAUUUUUGUGGGACUAUUGUAUUAGUUUGGAAGCUUAAUACAGACAGGUCUGCAAAUGGAAGGAUAAAACUGAGGUUUUUGUUUAAAAGAAUCAUGAAUAUAGGAGAUAUGAUGCUUCAAAGGCACUUAUAGAACACAAAUUUUAAUUAUCUGUCAAUAUCAUUAUCUAUUGUAGUAUUCAAUGCUUAUUUGUAGACCUUAUAGCA
RNAcentral lists this long non-coding RNA (354 nucleotides) under Amphimedon queenslandica. Its description in RNAcentral is "uncharacterized LOC109581951". The record is from RNAcentral. Lineage: Eukaryota; Metazoa; Porifera; Demospongiae; Haplosclerida; Niphatidae.